This 26-nucleotide non-coding RNA is filed under the name Cricetulus griseus (Chinese hamster). The record is from RNAcentral. Lineage: Eukaryota; Metazoa; Chordata; Mammalia; Rodentia; Cricetidae. RNAcentral also lists the same sequence under 1 other name.
GGGCUGGAGAGAUGGCUCAGACGUUA